This 374-nucleotide ribosomal RNA is filed under the name uncultured bacterium. Its description in RNAcentral is "bacterial SSU rRNA". It matches the Rfam family "Bacterial small subunit ribosomal RNA", at positions 524 to 898 of the family's 1533-position model. The record is from RNAcentral.
UACGUAGGUGGCAAGCGUUGUCCGGAAUUAUUGGGCGUAAAGCGCGCGCAGGCGGUCUCUUAAGUCUGAUGUGAAAGCCCACGGCUCAACCGUGGAGGGUCAUUGGAAACUGGGGGACUUGAGUACUGGAGAGGAGAGUGGAAUUCCAUGUGUAGCGGUGAAAUGCGUAGAUAUAUGGAGGAACACCAGUGGCGAAGGCGGCUCUCUGGCCAGUAACUGACGCUGAGGCGCGAAAGCGUGGGGAGCAAACAGGAUUAGAUACCCUGGUAGUCCACGCCGUAAACGAUGAGUGCUAGGUGUUGGGGGGUUCCACCCUCAGUGCUGACGUUAACACAUUAAGCACUCCGCCUGGGGAGUACGACCGCAAGGUUGAA